RNAcentral lists this ribosomal RNA (425 nucleotides) under uncultured bacterium. RNAcentral's name for it is "partial 16S ribosomal RNA". It matches the Rfam family "Bacterial small subunit ribosomal RNA", at positions 354 to 796 of the family's 1533-position model. The record is from RNAcentral.
GUGAGGAAUAUUGGGCAAUGGGCGAAAGCCUGACCCAGCCACGCCGCGUGAGUGAUGAAGGCCUUAGGGUUGUAAAGCUCUUUUACCCGGGAUGAUAAUGACAGUACCGGGAGAAUAAGCUCCGGCUAACUCCGUGCCAGCAGCCGCGGUAAUACGGAGGGAGCUAGCGUUGUUCGGAAUCACUGGGCGUAAAGCGCACGUAGGCGGCUUUGUAAGUUAGAGGUGAAAGCCCGGGGCUCAACUCCGGAACUGCCUUUAAGACUGCAUCGCUUGAAUCUGGGAGAGGUGAGUGGAAUUCCGAGUGUAGAGGUGAAAUUCGUAGAUAUUCGGAAGAACACCAGUGGCGAAGGCGGCUCACUGGACCAGAAUUGACGCUGAGGUGCGAAAGCGUGGGGAGCAAACAGGAUUAGAAACCCCAGUAGUCC